This 449-nucleotide ribosomal RNA is filed under the name uncultured bacterium. RNAcentral's name for it is "partial 16S ribosomal RNA". It matches the Rfam family "Bacterial small subunit ribosomal RNA", at positions 339 to 795 of the family's 1533-position model. The record is from RNAcentral.
CUACGGGAGGCUGCAGUGGGGAAUAUUGCGCAAUGGGCGAAAGCCUGACGCAGCAACGCCGCGUGAGUGAUGAAGGCCUUCGGGUCGUAAAGCUCUGUCGGGAGGGAAGAACACCUUCGGGUCUGACGGUACCUCCCGAGGAAGCACAGGCUAACUCCGUGCCAGCAGCCGCGGUAAUACGGAGUGUGCAAGCGUUGUUCGGAAUUACUGGGCGUAAAGCGCGCGUAGGCGGCUUGAUAAGUCAGAUGUGAAAUCCCUCGGCUUAACCGAGGAACUGCAUUUGAAACUGUCAGGCUUGAGUACGGGAGGGGGAAGCGGAAUUCCCAGUGUAGAGGUGAAAUUCGUAGAUAUUGGGAGGAACACCAGCGGCGAAGGCGGCUUCCUGGACCGAUACUGACGCUGAGGCGCGAAAGCGUGGGGAGCAAACAGGAUUAGAUACCCCUGUAGUC